CAGUUAAAGGAGGGGUUCAUAAUUUAGGGCGGGAAAUAAGUGGAGCUGUUUCGCUGCUUCAAGUCCUGUCAUGUCCAUAGAUGAGGAAAGAGGCUAUAAUCGCUGUUUUUUUGUCCGCCACAAAUUUGCUAUGGCUGAAGGAGAAGGAGCGUUAGUCAACGCGUGCCUGAAAGGCCACCUCACGGUACAAACUCCUCAUACAAACGUAGCUCUUUCUCUUGUUUUCCGUUAUGCUUUGUGAUGUUCUGACGUUAAUAACCUUGUCGCCGCCCACAGUGAGGGUUCUAACACACCACGUUAAAAAAAAGGUUCAUAAGUUUAUUGUUUUAGCCAAACGCCAUGACAAAAUAGUAGCAGUAGUAUUAAUAAAAUAAUGCAGAACUCAACUUCCAUAAUAUAAGUAGACACCCACGAUUUAAAAGAGAAUGCAGCUUUAAUUCCAAAAGCGUAAAUUCGUUCCUUACCAGGAUCCCAAAUGCUUCAGGUGUACUGUUGUUGCUCAGGGGUAUUUUUUCCAAAUUCACAAAGCUACAUUCAUACAAAUAGUUACUUCAGCUUAGAAACCCACUGCAAGUUCCUUAAGACUCUUUAAUUCCUGGACAAUUCACACUGAAAUUGUGUGAGUCACUAGUAGGCCUCACACAAUGCAAUCCUGUGUAUGUUUACUUGGAAGUAACUCCCAAGUAACUAUGUUCAGUAAAACUAGCUCCCAGGUAAUGUGUGUAGGAUUGCAGCUAUACGGAGCAUUCCUGCACAGUACUCUGCUAAUGUAGGAGCCAACUUACACUGUUGCAGUUGGCACAAAUUAACAGUAGGAUUGUACAGUACCUUGAAUGAAUGAGGCAACAGGUAUCCAAUCGUAAGAAACUCUGUAUCUGUAGUGACCUCUGCUUACAAAAGCCACCACUUUGUGUUUGGAAAUGUUAUUUCCAGCUUAUACCUUUCCUGUGCUCACAAUAGGCUGAGGCCAUCUUUAAUGGGGAGAAAUACAGGGUGGCAUUCUGAUGGCACCAGUGUUGUGUGAAAGCUGGAAAAAAGGUGAGCCCCACUUUCACAACAAACCCCCAUCUAGAAGUACCCCCAGAGUCCAUCAAAUGUCCAGCAAGGUAUCAGUAAAGCUGAUGUCUCAAGAAGAAGAUAAUGUAGAAGAUUUGUUAUUAAUAUGCCUGAGAAGGGCUUUAAAGUGAAAAAUGAACAGACAUGUAGGACUCCUGUUUAUAGAGGAACUCCUGUUUGAAGAGGAGCAAAACAGGAUUACUUGUGUGACUUGGCUGGGUGCCUCACAUGAAAGCAGUUGGCCAGAUGUAGUUUAGAUUUAAGAUUUGCAAGCAUUGUGUAUAAAACUUCCCCGUGUUGUUUAUAUUCUGGGGGAGGAAAAUCAUAAGAACAUAAGAGGAGACCUGCUGGAUCAGACCAAACCAUAUCUAGUACAGCAGGGAUAACUAACAAGGUGCCCUUCAGAUGUCAUUGAACUCCAGCUCUCAUCAGCCCCAGCCAAUAUAGCCAAUCAUCAGGGAUGAUUGGGGUUACAAUCCAACUACUUCUGGAAGUCAGUGCACUGGCUGCCCUGUAGUAUAUCAUCAUUUUUCCCCAGAGGGACCAACCAGAUGCCUCUGGGAAGUCCACAAACAGGACACCAUCGUCAUCAUUAUGUCAUUUUGCUCACAUAGUGACCCAAAGUGACUUGCAUUAAAAACAGUUAAGAACAACUAUGAAACCUCAGCGCCUAGGGCUUGCCGAUCGCAUGGUCGGCGGUUCGAAUCCCCACGGCGGGGUGAGCUCCCAUCUUUCGGUCCCAGCUCCUGCCCACCUAGCAGUUCGAAAGCACCCCUAAGUGCAAGUAGAUAAAUAGGUACCGCUUUAUAGUGGGAAGGUAAAUGGCGUUUCCGUGUGCUGCGCUGGUGCUGGCUCGCCAGAGCAGCUUUGUCACGCUGGCCACGUGACCCGGAAGUGUCUCCGGACAGCGCUGGCCCCCGGCCUCUUAAGUGAGAUGGGCGCACAACCCUAGAGUCGGACACGACUGGCCCGUACGGGCAGGGGUACCUUUACCUUUAUGAAAGCCUAAAAGCACAGCUAUAUAAAUAAAAGGCAGGACUUCAAAUCCCACCUCAGUAAAACAGGCCACAAUGUUGCCAAGGUCCAUGUAAAGAGAAAAGGUUUGGGCCAGUGCUUAAAACUAGAUAACUAUGGUGCCAGGUAUGCCUCCAUGGGGAAAGCGUCCCAUAAGCAUAAGGCCACCACUGAAAAGGACAUGAGGGCAAGAGUCUUUCGCCUUGUUGUUCAGAACCAUGCUACUUCUGUUCUUGGAGCAUUAAUGACUAAGAUCCAUUGAUAACCUUAUAUUCCAUGAAUUUGCUUAAUUCCCUGCUUUACAGUAUUGUUGUAACAAAUGCUUUGAAUAUUCUAAAACAGACAUGGCCAGACUUCAGGCUUAUGGGAUAUAUCUUUCUUUCUUUCUUUUACUUUUUCUAACUGAAAUCAAGUGCAAAAUGGUGGCAGGAAGCUAUUUAUUUAUUUUUAAAGUAUAUCUUGUCUUUCAUCCUCCCAAGCAGUUUAACUACCAACCACACUCCACAAAGUGUAUACUGGAGUACCUGUAUAUACAAGUACAAAUCUGUGACUUAAUACUGAACUACAAAUCAAGGAUUCCACUAGCCUAAAAUAAGUGUGUGUGUGGGGGGGGCAUUUUGGUUCUUUCUUCAAUGAUUGGAAGUCAGAAGCCAUUGUCAAUCUACUGUAAAUUAUCCAGUGAUCUACCAGUAGACUCCAAUCUACCUUCUUCUCACCCUUGCUCUGAAGCAGUAGAAAACUGCUACAUAUUACUUACCUUCCUAUACUAUAUAACAAUUUGGAACCAUCAUGAUUGUGAAACCUGCACAGCAUCACAGGUUGUACCUUCCAGUCUUUUCCAUCUAUAUUGAAAUUAUGUUCACCUUUUCUCUGCCUUUCUUUCACUGCUCAGUCAGAGCUUUCCUUACAGAAACAUCUAGGUCAGUAAUCAUGGAAACAUUACACUAACAUACUCUUUAAUAUAUUAUUUUCUCAGUGGCAACAAGACAAAAUGACGGUAUAGUUUAGUAUUCCUCUACCUUGCCAGAAAUCUUCCACUGAAUUAAAACCUGCAUUCUGAAAACAGUCAUAAAAGAGCCCUGCCUAUCUAGUAUAAGCACUCACACUGAUUAGCAUAUAACACUAAACCAUCGCCAUGGUUUAGCUAGCAUAAUAAGUGAACACAGCCCAGCAGCUUAACUAUGAUUCAUUUACUGCCAACAAACCAUUAUCUGUAGUCAUGGUUUGUUGUUGGCUUAUGAACCUUGAUUUGUUUUAAAUAUAGCUUUGUAUUAUGUUUGAAGCCAGCAACCUUCCUUUACCAUGGUUUGUUUGACCACCCCACUACAAAUGCUCACCAAACAUACAAGUACUGUAAUGAGUAGCUGGAAAAUAAGGUAAACUUUGGAAAAACAACUUGUACAACUUAAAUAAACCACAGCUUGGUGUUAGGUGUGAACCAAGCCAAUGAAAGAGAGAAGAUCAAACUACUUAAGACUUCCCUGGCAAUAUGAAAGACCAGCAUAGAAUGGCAGCUGUAUCCCUUGCUGAAGCAUUGGAACAAGUUUUAACCAAGGGUGGGAACUGUAAAAGGAAUCUAUUCUGGUUCAAGGAAAGCAUGUGAAGAAGUUGUGAAAGUAAGAACUUUCCUGAAAUCUCAGCUCACCUCCCAUGUGGUUCUGUGUUAAAUAUAGAGAUGAAGAGAUACAAUUACACAAGGUCACUGGAAGCCUACUAUGAACUACUCUUUACUGAAUCAAAGUACAGUGUGAUAAAUUUACAGCUUGCCUCUAAAUACAACCUAUGGCCACUUGUACUGGAUAACAGAAGUUACGAUGCAGGUGUCAGGUUCCUGCCCUCCCAUGCACUUUAAAUGUAUUAGUUAUGAUGGGUUAUUGUAGGGUCAGAUAUGCUAUGGUUUAUCUGUGAGAAUUUAAAAAACAACAACAUGAUGUGUUCAGACCUUCUGGGCUAUGUACAGGUGAUCCGUCAAAGGGGAAAACUGAAAGUGAAAUAAAGUCACACAUCCCUUGUGGCUAUUGUUGUUUCUUUGUUUUUUACUUUUCCUUUCCCUUCUUGUUCACAUGCAGCAGAUAAAGUUCUUCCCAAGUCUCCCUUCUUCCUUGGCUCCUCCUUUCCCAAAUACCCCUUCUUUCCUGUUUCUCUUUCCCUUCAUGCUCUAGUAACUACACCCGUAUUCCCUGAUAGUGCUGGCUUCUCUGCACCUUGCUUGCUUUCUGCCCCUUUGUUCUACUCCCACCAUCUACCCUCCUCUCAGUCUUUUAUCUCUCCUGCUUUCUAGGACCUCUUUUCACUCUCCAACCCAGAUCUUGUCCCCUUUGUUGGUAUCAGGUUGUUGUUUUUAAGUGUAUAGUCAUGGAAUACUUGAGAUAUUAAUGAAUAACACUUACAAAUUAAUUAGGAAUUGUGUAUAAUAUUUAUUUUAAGCUUUUGUCACUUGCAGAACAAAACAAAAUAUGUAUUCUCCAACUUCUGCUUUGGUAAUUAGAAUAUUCAUAGGCAACACAAUAAUUUGGGAGUUAAGGUUUGCAGGCAAUGGGGCAGCCAGAUUUUAGCUUUCAUCCAGACGAACGUUUAUGUAGGCAUUUAGGGGGCAAUCAUAUUUCAAGAUCUACUGGGAUAAGCUAUUGAGGAUGCAGCAUUACAGUGGAUCUCCGGCUCAGCUGAGCUCAGCAAGCUUCAUGUUGCCAGCUCUGGCUCAACCAAAAAUAUCCCAGCAUAACUUGCUCAGGUGGCUGAACUAAAUCUGUCAAGGCUGAUAUAGGUCUUAACAAGUGGGUGUAAGGGGGCAGGACCAAAGAAAGGGGACUUAGCCUUGAUCCUAUGUCCAUUCAGUUUUGUCAUGUGGCGUGGCACUCAGGCAUAGAACACUAUUUUAAAGACUUAUUUUUCCUCUUCCAGGCUUAGGCAGAGCAGCGGCCCCCCCACUUAAUGGGGUUUGGCUCUGGUGUAACUUUACCCUGGCUUGCUUUACACCGGCUUCUUGUGCCUAAGAUAGCUCCCCAAGCCUCCAUAACUGUCGGGUGCUCCUUUGAACACUUUGUUUGUAACGUAUUCUUAACCAUUUUAAUUAAUGUUUCCCCCAGUGUGUUUUGGGAAUAUUGUAGGGAAGCUGUUCAAAGGGAAGCUAGUAUAUACAGUAUACAGAUCAGAAGCCAGUUCAGCUCCAAUACUUAAUUCAGCUUAAUUAACUGAAAUAUGAGUACUUUACAGUAUAAAUGUGUUCUAGGUUGGACAGCUCACAUUUUUUGUUUAAAGUGCUUGCUAAAAGGAUUCCCCCUCUGCAGCUCCCACUGCAAACAAGACAUUGCAAGGAAAAUUUGGAAAGGAAAAAAUCACAUCCAGAAUAAAAUUUUAUUUUAAUGUUUAUUCAUGGUGUACUUUAAAUGCCUGUGGCAUUUAUCAAUGCAACAAGCACAAAUUAUGAAUUAUGAAUUAUGCAUAGCUUUUAUUUAAAGCUUAUGUGAUCUACACUGGAACCCUAUACAUAUUUUCUCAAAAGGAAGGCUGUGUAUACACCAUUUAUUCUGGCUCCAGUACACUCCCACCACUGGUGUUUGAAACCAUGAUGCUAGCCACAAUCCUAAUUUGUCUUGUAGUUCCUUGAGAAAUGCUGGCUUUUAAUGUAUUUUCCCUCGAACCAGCUUUUUUCGGAUUUGAACAUGUAAGCUACAUUCACUUUGCAGCUUAGCUGAGGUUCGUACAUUUAUGACAGCUAUUAUGCAUGCACAGAUAACAGUUUCAUGAACAGAAGUUCAGGAGGGCUUGAAGGUGCAGGGAACCCAAAUAAGGAGUGUAUAUCAGAUGAUACAGCAUGAGAUGGGAGUAUCUGCUAUUCAAAGGGGGGAAAGAUUUCUGGGUACACAUCAGGAACUAUUUUUGGCCUGCAAACCACAAAGUCUGGUGUAUAGCUGAUUUCCAGGGAAUUCAGGUGUCCUUUAGACACUUUCACAGCCUGUCCAUGAGCAGCUAAUGUACAGGUGGGAGAACAUUUAAAUGACACAACUACAAAGAUGGAGCCAAUCGUGUGAGUCUUUUUAAUGGAAUUGACAAUGCUCCUGGCGUGUGUGUGUGUGUGUGUGUGCACGCACACACGCACGCAAGCACACAUGCAUGCACGCACACCACUUCCGAGGAAAAGACCAUUGCACUUGACCCCUGCCCGCAAGCUGGAUCAUAUAAGCCUGAACUCAGUCACAAAGGACUGGAUCACAAAUAGGCAUCUCCCCCAUGGUUAGGAGGACAUAUAAAAGAACAUCUAAAUUGGCUUCAAUCUAAGUUUUUAUCUGUAGCAUCAGGCUGCAUAUGUAUAUUAAGUUAUGCCUGUGUUAAAAGACUGGUGAUAUUUUUGCCCUUUCAAUGAGUGUGAGUAUAAAGGAUCAACAUUAUUGUUUCCUAGCACGUUUCCAGUUGAGACAAACCCUUAGAAGAGGGUGCAGGGUAGCAGGAGAGAAUGGGAUUUAUGCACACCCAUUAAGGAGCAAAUGCAUCCCUUUGUGGAUGAUUUACAAAGGGGCCCUACUCACAGAUGAAGGGAGAUCUGAUAUAACAAUUCAUUGUUCUGACACACAUUGCAAUCAUGAUGUGCAGUUUUUAAUGUAUCAUGUUACAUUAAGCUUAGCCCAUGGUCUAAUACCGUGUAACAUAAAUUUCUGUAAAGGGAGAAACAUAACAUGAUGCUGUCUUAUAAAAGACACACACUAUUUUUUCAGUUCACAUCCCUUUUCUCCAUGAAUGCCCAAUCUGAAAAUCAAGGUGACAGACAAAAGUGGAGUGAAUGAGCAUCCACAAACCAGCAUAUUUUUCUUGGGUAGUUUUGCUCAUUCUCACCUGUAGUCAAUGACUCCAGUCAGUUUUUAUGUUGCAAUGCAUGAGCAAAGUUGAUGGACAUAUUUUUUGGUCACCCCUAGUUAGAUUUUAUUCAGGGUCAACCAAGAGGAACCUAACAAGGAUUAAGACUGUAAAAUACACUGGAAUUAAUCUCAGAAGUGUUUUCUCCACAAUGCAGAAAUGUAUAUUUCUAGAGAAGUUGCACCCUUUUUAAGAUUAUGCCUUUUGUUCUUAUAGCAGAUGUUUUACAUAGUAUUUUAAAUCCUUUACAAAGUACAAAAGUUUUAAAGAUGUGGCAGAGCUAAAAGUGGCACUCUGACCCCUGAAACACCAUUAGAGUGACAUUAGAAUAAAAAUCUGCAUGAUAAUUGGGUAAAGUGAGAUGGCAAUAUGGUUGAAAUUUUUUUAAGCCUUCAUAAAUCCCACCCAAAUUACUGCAUAAUAAAGGAGACAGCCUAUUCUAUGAAUGUUUUAAGUCAGACUACAUGAAUAGGAGAAGGAAGGCCCUGAGGUCAGACCUUGGGGUGAGCGCUGCUCUGUAGGGCAGCUGUGUCCUACAACAUUGUUUUAGGACAAAAAUUGCUUUGCUAAAAUGGCUCCUCAUUCUGGCCUUAGAAUGCCUCAUCAUAAGCUGCUCAAUCUUUCUCCCCUUUAGCUGACAAAAGAUUUCCUGCAUUGCAGGGGGUUAGAUGACCCUCGAGAUCCCUUCCAACUCUACAAUUCUCUGGUUUCAUGGGGGUGGCAAUGAAGGAGGUAAAGAGUGGCACAGAGAGAGAGAAUGGAGUGGCACACUGCCUGCCACUGGUUAUAGAUCCACCAACUGCCAUUGUGCAACCUCCAACACGUUACCCCAUAAGAAUUUUGGCCUUCAACAGGUAAAAUAGAUCCUUCAUAUCUGUUCAAGGGAGUAAACACGAAACCAACAAAUCCAUGGUUAUAAAGCCAAAGUGCAGGUGGAAGAGAGGGGUUCUUGCUGGACACCCAGCUUCACUAGCCUGCCAGCAGAUACAUUUAUAUUUUCUCUAAACUCCUUAUGAAGUGUGUUUAACUGUCCUGAUCCCUCCAUGGAUUCCAUUCAAUCUCCUGUCCCAGAAGUGACACGCAUCAGAACUGGUGUGUUUUAUCUGUAUUAGUUUACAGCUACUCACUUUUUCUAAGGGUUCAGUUUGGCAUACACAGGUGGGAAAUAGCACACCAACUAUGGCUGUGGCCUCAUUAUACUGAUGAUAAACCAGUUUGGGCAAAUUGAAGGCAGUGGAACUAGCGCCUAAACCCUAAAGACCCAUGUCUUCAUAUACUGGUCAGUAAUAUGAUUAUAAGAUCUUCACGCUGCUAACAUAACAAUUUUUGUGUUGAUCCCUGGCAUGGCUAUUCGUAUCCUUCAGCUUAUACACUCAUGUGCUGGCACAACAACUCUUAGAAUCAACAUACAGUGGUACCUUGGUUUCCAAACAGCUUAAUUGUCGAACAAAUCAGCUCCCGAACGCCGCAAACCUGGAAGCAAGUGUUCUGGUUUGCAAACGUUUUCAGAAGCCAAACAUCUGACGCAGCUUCUGCGGCUUCCACUUGAGUGCAGGAAGCUCCUGCAGCCAAUCGGAAACCACACCUUGGUUUUUGAAUGGUUUCGGGAGUCGAACGGACUCCCGGAACAGAUUAAGUUUGAGAACCAAGGUACCACUGUACUGACCUGUUGAAGCCAAACAUUUAAGCUAAGCCGCUUUAUAAGUGGAAAGAUGUGUAUAAGGAAGCCACACAAUUGUAGAGUUGCUGGAAUUGUAGAGUAAGGCGUUUUAGGAUUCCACUUCACAAUGUAAUUAGCCUAUGCAAUAGUAUGUCAGGAAUUGGCAGGGCUCCGGAGUGUGUUGUGAGACCAAGGGACCAGGGGAGUGACCAAGGAGAGGGGACCAGUUAUUUAUGGGGUGUCAUGCCAACCGCAAGGAGGAGCUAGGGGAGGAGGGAGAGUCAGAGCAGUCUGAGGCGGAGGAAGGCAUGCAGGAUGUGGUGGAGGAAUAAGCUACGGUUCAGGCAAGCAACAGGUCUGUAGAUUCCCUCUCCCCUCAACCAAUCUCGUAGAACCAGGAGGGGCUUGAAGAGGGAAAAGCAGUGACAACUUCCUGCAGAAGAAGUCUCAGGUUGCGGGCGUGCAACCCAUCAGAGGAGGGGAAGCGCCCCACUGUUGCUGCAACUGCUCCAUAAGGCCCAGAUCUGUGAACAGUUGCCUAAAGCAGGGAUCAGCAAACCUUUUCGUCAGGGGGCCGGUCCACUGUCCCUCAGACCUUGUGGGGGGCCGGGCUAUAUUUUGGGGGGUGGGGGAUGCAAGAGCACCACGAACCCCGGUGGCUGCUUAUCUGCGUCUUGCAAGCGGCAGGGACUGGCGGCAGCAGGGGGAUGAUGAGUGGUGCACGAAAGGGCUCCAGAGAGAGGCUGCUUAAAAUGGCAGUUGCUCGAGCACUGCUACUGCUGGCACCAACAAAGCCCAGCCCCCUUCCUCCUCUAGGCAGGGCAGGGAAAAGUCAGGAGGAGAGGGAGGAGGCACCGGCGCCGCCGUGUGAGGGAGAGGGAAAGAACGUGCGUGCUGGCAAUCCAAGCAGUGAUUCCCGGACCGGCUGUCCCUGGGCCGGAUCCAGAAGGCAAUUGGGCCUGAUCCAGCCCACAGGCCUUAGUUUGCCUACCCAUGGUCUAAAGGCUAGAAGUGUGUGUGCCCAGAGCACUGUGGAAGCUGCUAUAAGUGUGUCUCUUGCCAAUAAAGAGUUAACUAUCAGAUGUGUGUUUUCCUUAUCUUGGGCCAUGGCAGUGCAUUAGUAGAACUGCAAACUUUAGCGUUAAACAAGUACACUGUACACUGGGGAUGUAUGGAGAACAGAACUCAUUGCGUCAUCAUCCAUUAAAAUGAUUUAAAAUUAUUCAGGAAAAAACAAGUCACAUGUGCAGACCCUAAAUAAAUAAAGACACCUGGCAGUAUCCAGUUAACAUGACCCAUCAAAACAAUGAUUUACAGAACUUAGCCCUUUCCUCCCCCUGUGCACCCCCUAAAACCUAUAUUAGGGGUUCCCCCAAUCCUCUGGACAUGGGCCAUACAGGGGUAGGAGAGGGGGAAACUUAUAUUGUAUAAGCAAGUAGCAAAGCAUGCUUUGUGUUUGUUUGGCGUUUUCCUUUUUAGUGUGGCAUGUUUGACAGUAAAAUUUGCAAUGGGAAAAUCUGCUUUUUUCAACAACAAAAAAGCCCAUAGAGUUCACCCAACCUUUUAAAAAUAUUUUGAUUCAGUGAGCUCCUACUAGACUUUUCUCCAUCUUGAUGGAAAAUUGUAUAAUAAUGAUGUGAUAAUAUUUUGAUAAUGGUGCUUUGUUAUUUUUGGUUCUGUAAACCAUUUCUCAAAUUCAGCCAGCGCACCCCUUAGGGUUCCGGUUCCACUGUUUACAAAAUGCUUUAAGUGCAAAGACUGAGGAUUAUCAUGAUUCAUUCCAUGCUUGAUGUCAUAUUGGCUCACACAAUAGCUGCCUUUGAUUAUAUCUAUAAAUCUCACCAUACCAUAUUUCAUCCAUAGAGAGGUCUUAUUUGCAAUGCUAAACCUGUCAUUAAAGAUGAAUGAAGUCAGUUGUGAUAUGGAUAGACACUUUCAGACUUGACAAAAUAAAAGGGUUUGUGUACACUAUAUUUUUUUGCUGUCCAGUGACUCCCAGUCUAUAACAAUGGUAAAUCUUAAUAUAAAAAAAACCAAGGACUGUACCCAUUAAAGUUCAGUCUCAUUGCCUAAGAGAGCAUAGCCACGUGGCAUACCUCCUUUCGCCUUUGUUUCAUGCUAAGUAGCUAAAGCUAAUUUAAGCUUUUCUCCUUUCCAUGUACAAUACCAGGUACAUUUUAAAAAAAGAAAAAAGAACACCUGCUAACUUAUUCAGAUAUAUGUAGAAAUUGAAAUAAGGAUGUGAUUCAAAACAAAUAAGAAUCUAGGAGGAAUAGGCACAACUAUUACAAAUGAGAGCGUUAUUACACACAUUUCCUGCUUGUGGGUUUCCCAAAAGCAUCUGGUUGGCCACUAUAAGAACAGAAUGCUGAACUACACAGGCCUUUGGACUGAACCAGAAGGAUUCUUCUUAUGUUCAUCUAUUUAUUUCUUCUUUAAUCUCAUGCUGCUGCUGAGUAUAACAUCCUUUAAUGAAUAUCCUGUGUAGAUCAAGUCAAAUUACAUUGUCUCUUUACAUCAUAUUAAGAUCUAGUAACUCAGUUUUGGAUUUACCAUUUUAGUACCCAGUACUAUAUAAGUCAGUGCAAUAUAACACUUCAGGUCAUGAUUCUUCAGGACUUGACAAGAAUCACAUAAUCUUAUCUUGCAGAUAUAGAAGCCACUGACAGUGCUCAAUGGGAAACUGGAAGCAACAUCAAUAUAUCUUUUGAAGGUUGACCAUUCAAUUCACAGUAGCGUGCAGAUGGGCUUUUAACGUGUUCAUUUUAAAGUCAUUUUGGCUCUGGU
This 11368-nucleotide long non-coding RNA is filed under the name Podarcis lilfordi (Lilford's wall lizard). The record is from RNAcentral. Lineage: Eukaryota; Metazoa; Chordata; Lepidosauria; Squamata; Lacertidae.